This 84-nucleotide transfer RNA is filed under the name bacterium endosymbiont of Pedicinus badii. It matches the Rfam family "tRNA". Rfam says of the family: Transfer RNA (tRNA) molecules are approximately 80 nucleotides in length. Their secondary structure includes four short double-helical elements and three loops (D, anti-codon, and T loops). The record is from Rfam by way of RNAcentral. Lineage: Bacteria; Pseudomonadati; Pseudomonadota; Gammaproteobacteria.
GCCGGGGUGGUGGAAAAUGGUAGACACGCUACUUUGAGGUGGUAGUGCCUUUUUGGCUUACGGGUUCAAAUCCCGUUCUCGGUA